AGAGUUUGAUCCUGGCUCAGGACGAACGCUGGCGGCGUGCUUAACACAUGCAAGUCGAGCGAGAAAGUUACCUUCGGGUAAUGAGUAAAGUGGCGGACGGGUGAGUAACGCGUGGAUAACCUGCCCCUAGGUCUGGAAUAACCUUUCGAAAGGGGGGCUAAUUCCGGAUGUGUUGUAGUGGACGCAUGUUUACUACAAUAAAGUUAGCCUUAGAGCAAACGUUUAGGGAUGGGUCCGCGUUCCAUUAGCUAGUUGGUGGGGUAACGGCCUACCAAGGCAGCGAUGGAUAGCCGGCCUGAGAGGGCGAUCGGCCACACUGGGACUGAGACACGGCCCAGACUCCUACGGGAGGCAGCAGUGGGGAAUCUUCCGCAAUGGGCGCAAGCCUGACGGAGCAACGUCGCGUGAGUGAAGAAGGCCUUUGGGUUGUAAAGCUCUGUCUUUGGGGAAGAACAUUCGUAUGGUUAAAAGUCAUACGGGUUGACGGUACCCAUAAAGGAAGCCCUGGCUAACUACGUGCCAGCAGCCGCGGUAACACGUAGAGGGCGAGCGUUGUCCGGAAUUAUUGGGCGUAAAGGGCGCGUAGGCGGUUAGGCAAGUCGAAUGUGAAAUCCGCUGGCUCAACCAGUGAAUUGCGUUCGAAACUGCCAUGCUUGAGGUCAGGAGAGGAGAACAGAAUUCCUAGUGUAGCGGUGAAAUGCGUAGAUAUUAGGAGGAAUGUCAGUGGCGAAGGCGGUUCUCUGGCCUGUACCUGACGCUGAGGCGCGAAAGCUAGGUUAGCAAACCGGAUUAGAUACCCGGGUAGUCCUAGCUGUAAACGUUGGGCACUAGGUGUUGGGGGUUCGAUUCCCUCAGUGCCGCAGCUAACGCAUUAAGUGCCCCGCCUGGGGAUUACGACCGCAAGGUUGAAACUCAAAGGAAUUGACGGGGGCCCGCACAAGCGGCGGAGCAUGUGGUUUAAUUCGAAGCAACGCGAAGAACCUUACCGGGAUUUGACAUCCCCUGCUAGUCUGUGAAAGCAGAUAUUCCCUUCGGGGACAGGGAGACAGGUGGUGCAUGGCUGUCGUCAGCUCGUGUCGUGAGAUGUUGGGUUAAGUCCCGCAACGAGCGCAACCCUUAUCCUUAGUUGCCAGCAUGUAGUGAUGGGGACUCUAAGGAGACUGCCAGUCAAAAAACUGGAGGAAGGUGGGGAUGACGUCAAGUCAUCAUGCCCUUUAUGUUCCGGGCUACACACGUGCUACAAUGGACUGUACAACGGGUGGCGACGGAGUGAUCCUGAGCUAAUCCUAAUAAAGCAGUUCUCAGUUCGGAUUGCAGGCUGCAACUCGCCUGCAUGAAGCUGGAGUCGCUAGUAAUCGCGAAUCAGAAUGUCGCGGUGAAUACGUUCCCGGGCCUUGUACACACCGCCCGUCACACCACCCGAGUUUGAUGCACCAGAAGUCAUCCGUCAGGGUGCCGAAGGUGUGUCCGGUAAGGGGGGUGAAGUCGUAACAAGGUAGCCGU
RNAcentral lists this ribosomal RNA (1503 nucleotides) under uncultured Bacillota bacterium. Its description in RNAcentral is "bacterial SSU rRNA". It matches the Rfam family "Bacterial small subunit ribosomal RNA". The record is from RNAcentral. Lineage: Bacteria; Bacillati; Bacillota.